This 465-nucleotide ribosomal RNA is filed under the name Vreelandella stevensii. RNAcentral describes it as "partial 16S ribosomal RNA". It matches the Rfam family "Bacterial small subunit ribosomal RNA", at positions 338 to 795 of the family's 1533-position model. The record is from RNAcentral. Lineage: Bacteria; Pseudomonadati; Pseudomonadota; Gammaproteobacteria; Oceanospirillales; Halomonadaceae.
CCUACGGGGGGUAGCAGUGGGGAAUAUUGGACAAUGGGCGAAAGCCUGAUCCAGCCAUGCCGCGUGUGUGAAGAAGGCCUUCGGGUUGUAAAGCACUUUCAGUGGGGAAGAAAGCCUUGGGGCUAAUACCCUCGAGGAAGGACAUCACCCACAGAAGAAGCACCGGCUAACUCCGUGCCAGCAGCCGCGGUAAUACGGAGGGUGCGAGCGUUAAUCGGAAUUACUGGGCGUAAAGCGCGCGUAGGCGGUCUGAUAAGCCGGUUGUGAAAGCCCCGGGCUCAACCUGGGAACGGCAUCCGGAACUGUCAGGCUAGAGUGCAGGAGAGGAAGGUAGAAUUCCCGGUGUAGCGGUGAAAUGCGUAGAGAUCGGGAGGAAUACCAGUGGCGAAGGCGGCCUUCUGGACUGACACUGACGCUGAGGUGCGAAAGCGUGGGUAGCAAACAGGAUUAGAUACCCUAGUAGUC